AGUAGGGUCCUGUGCGGUAGGGCGCUCGAACCGUGUCAGGGCUUAACGGCAGCAGCACUAAGGGCAUCACCCUAGGUGCCACGGGGCAGCCCUACUUUA
RNAcentral lists this signal recognition particle RNA (99 nucleotides) under Anaerolineae bacterium. Its description in RNAcentral is "signal recognition particle sRNA small type". It matches the Rfam family "Bacterial small signal recognition particle RNA". From Rfam's summary of the family: The signal recognition particle (SRP) is a universally conserved ribonucleoprotein involved in the co-translational targeting of proteins to membranes. Archaeal SRP consists of a 7S RNA and homologues of the eukaryotic SRP19 and SRP54 proteins. Lineage: Bacteria; Bacillati; Chloroflexota; Anaerolineae. The record is from RNAcentral.